This 440-nucleotide ribosomal RNA is filed under the name uncultured bacterium. Its description in RNAcentral is "partial 16S ribosomal RNA". It matches the Rfam family "Bacterial small subunit ribosomal RNA", at positions 338 to 795 of the family's 1533-position model. The record is from RNAcentral.
CCUACGUGGGACUGCAGUGGGGAAUAUUGCACAAUGGGGGAAACCCUGAUGCAGCGACGCCGCGUGAGUGAAGAAGUAAUUCGUUAUGUAACGCUCUAUCAGCAGGGAAGAAAAUGACGGUACCUGAGUAAGAAGCCCCGGCUAACUACGUGCCAGCAGCCGCGGUAAUACGUAGGGGGCAAGCGUUAUCCGGAUUUACUGGGUGUAAAGGGAGCGUAGACGGCAGUGCAAGUCUGGAGUGAAAGGCGGGGGCUCAACCCCCGGACUGCUCUUGAAACUGUACGGAUGGAGUGCAGGAGAGGUAAGUGGAAUUCCUAGUGUAGCGGUGACAUGCGUAGAUAUUAGGAGGAACACCAGUGGCGAAGGCGGCUUACUGAACUGUAACUGACGUUGAGGCUCGAAAGCGUGGGGAGCAAACAGGAUUAGAUACCCUAGUAGUC